AACGAACGCUGGCGGCAGGCUUAACACAUGCAAGUCGAACGGGCCCUUCGGUGCUAGUGGCAGACGGGUGAGUAACACGUGGGAACGUACCUUUCGGUUCGGAAUAAUCCAGGGAAACUUGUACUAAUACCGGAUACGCCCUUCGGGGGAAAGAUUCAUCGCCGUUGGAUCGGCCCGCGUCUGAUUAGCUAGUUGGUGGGGUAAUAGCCCACCAAGGCGACGAUCCGUAGCUGGUCUGAGAGGAUGAUCAGCCACAUUGGGACUGAGACACGGCCCAGACUCCUACGGGAGGCAGCAGUGGGGAAUAUUGGACAAUGGGCGAAAGCCUGAUCCAGCCAUGCCGCGUGAGUGAUGAAGGCCUUAGGGUUGUAAAGCUCUUUUGUCCGGGAAGAUAAUGACAGUACCGGAAGAAUAAGCCCCGGCUAACUUCGUG
This 433-nucleotide ribosomal RNA is filed under the name uncultured bacterium. RNAcentral's name for it is "partial 16S ribosomal RNA". It matches the Rfam family "Bacterial small subunit ribosomal RNA", at positions 29 to 507 of the family's 1533-position model. The record is from RNAcentral.